RNAcentral lists this ribosomal RNA (253 nucleotides) under uncultured bacterium. Its description in RNAcentral is "partial 16S ribosomal RNA". It matches the Rfam family "Bacterial small subunit ribosomal RNA", at positions 524 to 776 of the family's 1533-position model. The record is from RNAcentral.
UACGAAGGGGGCUAGCGUUGCUCGGAAUCACUGGGCGUAAAGCGUACGUAGGCGGCUUUCUAAGUCAGGGGUGAAAUCCUGGAGCUCAACUCCAGAACUGCCUUUGAUACUGGGAAGCUCGAGUCCGGAAGAGGUGAGUGGAACUCCGAGUGUAGAGGUGAAAUUCGUAGAUAUUCGGAAGAACACCAGUGGCGAAGGCGGCUCACUGGUCCGGUACUGACGCUGAGGUGCGAAAGCGUGGGGAGCAAACAGG